CGCACAUUGCGCCCUUUGGUAUCCCGAAGGGCAUGCCUGUUCGAGCGUCAUUAUCAACCCUCAAGCCCGGCUUGACAUUGGGCUCGGAUCGUCGAAGAUCGGCCCCAAAGAUAACGGCGGUGUUGUGGCCGAGGCGAAAAGAUGCAACGAGUUCGCACUUUUGGUCGAGGCGCAGCCCCCGCUCAACGAUGUUACAUCACUCCGACGAUGGACCUCGGAUCAGACAGGAUUACCCGCUGAACUUAA
This 246-nucleotide unclassified non-coding RNA is filed under the name Pyrenula mamillana. Its description in RNAcentral is "partial contains 5.8S ribosomal RNA, internal transcribed spacer 2, and large subunit ribosomal RNA". Lineage: Eukaryota; Fungi; Ascomycota; Eurotiomycetes; Pyrenulales; Pyrenulaceae. The record is from RNAcentral.